GUAUAUAGCUCAGUUGGUAGAGCAAAGGACUGAAAAUCCUUGUGUCCCCGGUUCGAUUCCUGGUGGCAUACU
RNAcentral lists this transfer RNA (72 nucleotides) under Bacteroides thetaiotaomicron. Its description in RNAcentral is "tRNA-Phe". The stretch from base 4 to 65 matches the Rfam family "tRNA", at positions 6 to 65 of the family's 71-position model. From Rfam's summary of the family: Transfer RNA (tRNA) molecules are approximately 80 nucleotides in length. Their secondary structure includes four short double-helical elements and three loops (D, anti-codon, and T loops). The record is from RNAcentral. Lineage: Bacteria; Pseudomonadati; Bacteroidota; Bacteroidia; Bacteroidales; Bacteroidaceae.